RNAcentral lists this ribosomal RNA (440 nucleotides) under uncultured bacterium. Its description in RNAcentral is "partial 16S ribosomal RNA". It matches the Rfam family "Bacterial small subunit ribosomal RNA", at positions 338 to 795 of the family's 1533-position model. The record is from RNAcentral.
CCUACGGGAGGCAGCAGUGGGGAAUAUUGCACAAUGGGGGGAACCCUGAUGCAGCGACGCCGCGUGGGUGAAGGAGUACUUCGGUACGUAAAGCCCUAUUAGCAGGAAAGAAAAUGACGGUACCUGACUAAUAAGCCCCGGCUAAUUACGUGCCAGCAGCCGUGGUAAUACGUAGGGGGCAAGCGUGAUCCGGAUUUACUGGGUGUAAAGGGAGCGUAGACGGCAGUGCAAGUCCGGAGGGAAAGCCCGGGGCUCAACCUUAGGUCUGCUCUGGAAACUGUAAAGCUGGAGUGCGUGAGAGGCAGGCGGAAUUCGUGGUGUAGCGGUGAAAUGCGUAGAUAUCAGGAAGAACACCGACGGCGAAGGCAGCCUGCUGGGCCGUAACUGACGUUGAGGCACGAAAGCGUGGGGAGCAAACAGGAUUAGAUACCCUUGUAGUC